This 100-nucleotide ribosomal RNA is filed under the name Periophthalmus magnuspinnatus. The record is from RNAcentral. Lineage: Eukaryota; Metazoa; Chordata; Actinopteri; Gobiiformes; Gobiidae.
GCCAUACUGGCUUGUAUGCCUAAUCUCAUUAGAUCGGAAGCUAAGCAGGGCUGGGCCUGGUUAGUACUUGGAUGGGAGACCACUGAGAAUACCAGGUGGC